Molecule: non-coding RNA, 287 nt
Organism: Nicotiana tabacum (common tobacco)
Lineage: Eukaryota; Viridiplantae; Streptophyta; Magnoliopsida; Solanales; Solanaceae
Source: RefSeq, a predicted model, not a curated record
GCUACUAGAUUUAAUGUGUAUUUGGGAUGAUUAAUCCCGUCUGUCUUUUCUAUAUGAAUGCAGGCAAAGGAAGUCCGAAGGUUGGCCGACAAUAUGGUUCAGCUUGGAAAGGAGGGAAGUCUAUCUGCUGCAAGACAGGCAGCUGCCUUUGUGCGUGGGGAUGAUGUCAUUCAUAAGCUAUUUACUGAAUUGGCUUACCGAUACAAAGAUAGAGCUGGUGGAUACACGAGAAUGCUCCGAACUCGAAUUCGAGUAGGUGAUGCUGCACCAAUGGCCUAUANUAAAAG